CUCUUCAAUAUUUAAAUUAACGAAUUGGCCACUAUUCUAGAAAAAUCCUCAGCCCCUGGUGUUAGUCUCCACAAUUCAGAAGUUAAAUGCCUACUCUUCGCAGAUGACCUAUGCCUGCUGUCACCCACAGCACAUGGCCUACAGCAGAGCCUGGACCUGCUAGAGCAGUGCUGCCAGACCUGGGCCCUGGCAGUAAACCCCAAAAAGACUAAAAUAAUGAUUUUCCAGAGAAGAUCCAGAUCUCAGGGAAUUAGAUCAAAGUUCUCAAUUGGUACAAAAUAUAUAGAGUACUGCACACACUACAAUUACUUAGGUUUAAAAAUAAGCUCAACUGGACACCAGUGAAUGAGCUGAGAGAGAAAGCACGCAGGGCAUUCUACACCAUUAAAAAGCUAAUUCAAAUUGAAAUACCUAUUAAAAUUUGGCUAAAACUAAUUGAAUAUGUCAUUGAACCAAUUGCACUUUAUGGCAGCGAGGUGUGGGGUCCACUUGCAAAACAAGAUUUCAUCAAAUGGGACAAACACCCCAUUGAAACCCUGCAUGCAGAGUUCUGUAAGAUUCUCCUACAUGUCCAGAGGAAAACUACAAACAAUGCAUGCAGGGCAGAAUUAGGCCAAUAUCCACCAAUAAUAAAAACUCAAAAAAUAGCAAUUAAGUUUUGGAAACAUCUAAAAUACCGUUACCCCCUCUCAUAUCAUUACCAAGCCCUGCAAUGCCAAGAGCUGAGCAAAGAAAAGAGUCCCCUCAUCCAGCUGGUCCUGGGGCUGAGUUCACAAACCUGUUCUACUAACGCACUGAAGCCUCAGGACCAGAACAUCCAAUCAAUCAGGAUAAACCAAAUUACAACACAGUCAAAACAAAACUGUAUUGCUUAUUGGGAAACACAAACACAAAGCAAAAUGCAGUGCUAUCUGGUCCUAAAUCGACAGUACACCGUGGCUAAAUAUUUGACCAUGGUUACUGAUCAAAACCUUAGAAAAACCUUGACAAAGUACAGGCUCAGUGAGCACAGCCUUGCCAUUGAGAAGGGUAGACACAGGAAAACCUGGCUCCCUGUAGAGGA
Molecule: long non-coding RNA, 1063 nt
Filed under: Oncorhynchus kisutch (coho salmon)
Lineage: Eukaryota; Metazoa; Chordata; Actinopteri; Salmoniformes; Salmonidae
Description: lncRNA (ENSOKIG00005046026.1)
Source: RNAcentral